UUAUUUGAAUUCCGUGUGGAAAGAGCUCGGGUUAAUUUCGAGUGUUAUCUGCAAUCUAGAUGUUUAUAAAUCAUUUCAGUCGUUGAUAUAAUAAUUAAAGGUCGACUGAACAUGAAUUAUAUUAUACAAUUUAAAGCGCAUUUCUGUUUAUGCACGUGAACCCGUCUAACGUUAUUGUUAUUUCGCAGUUAUAUAAAGUAGCAAAUUAUCGUUCCUGAAUAGGUGGCGCCGUGGUAGCGGAUCCUGUUCCUCAACUUCCGGUUUCUGCACUGUGCAACUAUUUCAGUUAUAUUUUUAAUUAACGAUGCCAAGUACUUGUUGUUGUGUACCUGGAUGUCAUUUAAGAGGAGGACAUGCAUUUCCAAAUGACUUAAAAAGAAGGAAAAGUUGGAUCAACGCCAUGGCCCAUACGCAGAUUGGACGAGAACACGAUGAUAUCGUGGAGUCCAUCUCAAUUAUCAGCUGUUGUUUGCAAGGCACGUUUUACUGAAAAAGACAACGUGCAGGAAACUAUUCAUGGGCGCAAACCCACCAUACAGAGACUUAAGUCUACUGCCAUUCCCAGCCUAUUUUCCUGGACCAAGCAAGAGACUGAAUCGUCCGCAAAAAGAAAAAUCAGGGCAGUUUCCUGUGAAAACAAAAGAACUAAACUUGAUGAAUAUUGUAGUAGAAAUCUAGAGGAAAGUUUUGAUUGUAAAGUUGGUUUUCCUGAAGAAGUCAUUCAUACUGCAGAAAGGAUUUAUGACUGUCCACCACCAACUGCCGAGCUAAUGUUAAGCUUCACAGAUGGAAUUACGCAAUCACCAUCAAUGCCUAUGUUUUCAGCAGAGAAUUUUGAAAUGAAGACUCGUGACACAGCCAUGCAUUUUUAUACCGGUUUAGAGUUGUAUACUAAAUUUUUAUUUGUUUUGACCACACUUGGUUCAGCAGCACAUUGUUUGAGAUACAUAUAUUUUCAAAUUGAUAGGGUGUCAGUUGAAAAUCAGUUUUUUUAUGACUUUGAUGAAAUUGAGGCAUUAUACAACCAACUUUGAACUGUCUAGAUUCUAGAUUGAAUCUAGUGUUAAGAAUAUUGUGUAUACAUGGAUUGUUUUUAUGUCUAAACAGUGGUGUGAGGCUAACACUUGGCCAUCUAGUGGUUUAGUCAGGUAUUUUUCACCAUCCAACUUCAAAUUAAAGUUUCCUACGACUUGGAUUAUUAUUGACAGCACAGAAUAUCCCGUGAUAAAACCUAAAGCUCCUAGAGCUCAGGCAACCUUUUCAUCAAAUGAAAACAGAAACACUGAAAAUUCUUGAAUGUUCGACACCUGGUGGUUUAGUCAACUAUGUCUCUAUGUCACAUAGAGCGAAUUAUUGGACUUGGCAAAAAAUACAAAAUUCUAAUAAAUCCUAUGAAUGGAACUGAAACAAAACUUUCAUCUGAAAUAACAUUUAGUUGUUUUAUGUUGUGUAAUUUUAGAACUUGUAUUGUGCCAAAGGAUGCAUAAAUAAAAGUGACGCAAUGAA
Mytilus californianus (California mussel) is the source of this 1506-nucleotide long non-coding RNA. RefSeq lists it as uncharacterized. Lineage: Eukaryota; Metazoa; Mollusca; Bivalvia; Mytilida; Mytilidae. The transcript is spliced from 2 exons. The record is from RefSeq and is a predicted model, not a curated record.